AAUAAAUAUAUAAAUAUUUAAUUAACAUUAUAUAUGAGAAAGAAACAUCUUUAAAAUAAGUUAAGGAGAUUAAAAGUUAUUUUAUAAAUAUUUUAGAUAAGUACUGUGAAGGAAUUUUUAUGAUUUAAUAAUUAGGAAAGUUUAAUCUUUGUACCUUUUGUAUCAUGGUUUAGUUAGAAGUUAUUUUUUAUAAAAUUUCUCGAAGCCUAAUGGGCUAUUUUUAUUUACUUUAUAGACUAAAAACAACUAGUUGUGGCAAAAAUUUGGUUAAAAAUAAAAAUAGAAAUGAUAUUUUAUUCGUAUUAGGUGAUAGCUAGUUCUUUCGAAAAAGCAUAGAAGUGCUAAAAAUUAGUGUAUGUUUUUAAAUAUUAUAAUUAUUUAAAAACUUUCUGACUUUGGUAGAUCUUUGAGGAUAAGCUCGAAGAAGAUUAAUAAAUUAAUAUAUAAUUUUGAUUAAAAUUUAGGCUUGAAAAUAGCCAUUAUUGUGAUUUUGUUAUAAUUUCAUUAAGUUAAAAGAAGAAGAAUUUAUGUAUUAUGAUUAAUAAGAAAGAAAAUUUUUUAAUAAAAAAAAGUUGUGUUUAUGCUAAAAUGAGUAUUACGUUAUAUUAUUUAUUUUAAUAAUUAUUAAUUUUUAAAAUAUAAAUAUUAUUUAUUUGUUAAAAUUAUGUAAAGGAACUCGGCAAAUUUAUAUUCUGCCUGUUUAUCAAAAACAUGGCUCUUUGAAAACAAUUGAUAAGGAGUCGGACCUGCCCAGUGAAAAGUUUUAACGGCCGCGGUCCUCUGCCCGUGCAAAGGUAGCAUAAUCAUUUGCCUUAUAAUUGAAGGCUUGUAUGAAUGGUUUGACAAGAAUAUAGCUGUCUCUAUAUAAUUUUAUAGAAUUUUAUCUUGAAGUGAAGAAGCUUGAAUAAUAUUGAUAGACAAGAAGACCCUAUCGAGCUUGAAAAAAGAUAGUAGAGGUAUAUAAAAUAGAAUUAAAAAAUUGUCUAUUAUAAAUUUUGGUUGGGGCGACUUAGGAACAUAAAAAGCUUCCUAAAUUUUUAUAUAAAAACAAAGUGAUCCAAAAUAUUUUGAUUAAGGAAAUUAGUUACCGUAGGGAUAACAGCAUUAUCUUCUUUGAGAGUUCAUAUCGAAAAGAGGGUUUGUGACCUCGAUGUUGGACCAGAAUAUCCUAAAGAUGUAGCAGUCUUUAAGGGUUGGUCUGUUCGACCAUUAAAAUUCUACGUGAUCUGAGUUCAGACCGGCGUGAGCCAGGUCAGUUUCUAUCUUCAAUUUUAAUUAUAGACUUAGUACGAAAGGACCAGUUUAUUACAAUUUAUUGUAUUUAAAGGUAAUAUUUAAUGUUAUAAUAA
RNAcentral lists this ribosomal RNA (1349 nucleotides) under Mitrella bicincta. RNAcentral describes it as "16S ribosomal RNA". The stretch from base 887 to 1273 matches the Rfam family "Bacterial large subunit ribosomal RNA", at positions 2049 to 2651 of the family's 2925-position model. Lineage: Eukaryota; Metazoa; Mollusca; Gastropoda; Neogastropoda; Columbellidae. The record is from RNAcentral.